Molecule: ribosomal RNA, 515 nt
Filed under: uncultured bacterium
Lineage: Bacteria
Description: partial 16S ribosomal RNA
Rfam family: Bacterial small subunit ribosomal RNA
Source: RNAcentral
GAUGAACGCUGGCGGCGUGCCUAAUACAUGCAAGUCGAGCGAAUGGAUUAAGAGCUUGCUCUUAUGAAGUUAGCGGCGGACGGGUGGGUAACACGUGGGUAACCUGCCCAUAAGACUGGGAUGACUCCGGGAAACCGGGGCUAAUACCGGAUAACAUUUUGAACCGCAUGGUUCGAAAUUGAAAGGCGGCUUCGGCUGUCACUUAUGUAUGGACCCGCGUCGCAUUAGCUAGUUGGUGAGGGAAGGGCUCACCAAGGCAACGAUGCGUAGCCGACCUGAGAGGGUGAUCGGCCACACUGGGACUGAGACACGGCCCAGACUCCUACGGGAGGCAGCAGUAGGGAAUCUUCCGCAAUGGACGAAAGUCUGACGGAGCAACGCCGCGUGAGUGAUGAAGGCUUUCGGGUCGUAAAACUCUGUUGUUAGGGAAGAACAAGUGCUAGUUGAAUAAGCUGGCACCUUGACGGUACCUAACCAGAAAGCCACGGCUAACUACGUGCCAGCCGCCGCCGUAA